This is a long non-coding RNA of Vespula vulgaris, 452 nucleotides long. RefSeq lists it as uncharacterized. Lineage: Eukaryota; Metazoa; Arthropoda; Insecta; Hymenoptera; Vespidae. The record is from RefSeq and is a predicted model, not a curated record. The transcript is spliced from 2 exons.
AAAAGAAGACGGAGAGGGAGAAAGCGGGAAAGACGGAAAGAGAAAAAUAAUAAGAGGGGAAGAGAUGGAAGGAAAAAAAAAACAAAAAGGAGAAAUGGAGAUAGAGAAAUAAUGAUGGAAAAGAGGUAAACGUGGCGCCGGUUAUGCUGAAAGUCUCUUGUAAUAGCACGUUCGUCUCGUUGAAAAGGAAAGCGCGCGCGUGCGUGACACUGUAGUUUGACAGGUGCAAGGACGUGUGGAAAGGUGGAAGAAGAAGAAAGUGUCGGGAUUUUGAAGGUUGACGUACACGGGGGAGGCACGAGCUGCUCGACACACGAUAUUUCUCUUGGUGCUGCGUGACGUAACUAGGUUCCACCUUCCGCGUGGAAUGAAAUGUUCAACACGAGUCUACGGUUUAACAACGUUACAAAAAUGUGUAUGUGAGAGAGAGAAAGAGAGAGAGAGAGAUCGUA